Molecule: ribosomal RNA, 253 nt
Filed under: uncultured bacterium
Lineage: Bacteria
Description: partial 16S ribosomal RNA
Rfam family: Bacterial small subunit ribosomal RNA
Source: RNAcentral
UACGUAGGGUGCGAGCGUUAAUCGGAAUUACUGGGCGUAAAGCGUGCGCAGGCGGUGCUGUAAGACAGGCGUGAAAUCCCCGGGCUUAACCUGGGAAUGGCGCUUGUGACUGCAGUGCUGGAGUGCGGCAGAGGGGGAUGGAAUUCCGCGUGUAGCAGUGAAAUGCGUAGAUAUGCGGAGGAACACCGAUGGCGAAGGCAAUCCCCUGGGCCUGCACUGACGCUCAUGCACGAAAGCGUGGGGAGCGAACAGG